RNAcentral lists this ribosomal RNA (455 nucleotides) under uncultured bacterium. RNAcentral describes it as "bacterial SSU rRNA". It matches the Rfam family "Bacterial small subunit ribosomal RNA", at positions 340 to 786 of the family's 1533-position model. The record is from RNAcentral.
UACGGAAGGCAGCAGUGGGGAAUAUUGCACAAUGGGCGAAAGCCUGAUGCAGCUAUGCCGCGUGUAUGAAGAAGGCCUUAGGGUUGUAAAGUACUUUCAUCGAGGAGGAAAAACAAAACUAAUAAUUUUAUUUCUUGACGUUACCCGAAAAAGAAGCACCGGCUAACUCCGUGCCAGCAGCCGCGGUAAUACGGAGGGUGCUAGCGUUAAUCAGAAUUACUGGGCGUAAAGAGCACGUAGGUGGUUUUUUUAAGUCAGAUGUGAAAUCCCUGGGCUUAACCUAGGAACUGCAUUUUGAAACUGAAAUACUAGAGUAUCGUAGAGGGAGGUAGAAUUCUAGGUGUAGCGGUGAAAUGCGUAGAUAUCUGGAGGAAUACCUGUGGCGAAAGCGGCCUCCUAAACGAAUACUGACACUGAGGUGCGAAAGCGUGGGGAGCAAACAGGGAUUAGAUACC